AGACAGAGCACAGCAGGAGGAGGAGCUACACAACUGAAUAUGAAAGGCUUCAUGUUGGAGCUGAAGAGCUGCUGUGUUCUCUCUAUUGUUCAUUCAGUACAAGUGAAAAUAAUGUUCCUGCUUCUCAUCGGGAUGGUGAUCGUCUCCUUUCAAAGUGGAUCCUCUGAGGAUGUACUGACUCCAUUUAAAGACGUAUUGAUGGCUUUGGAAGGAGACACUGUGACUCUCUCCUGCAACUACUCAGGCUCUGUCGACUACCUCUUCUGGUACCAACAGAAGUCCAGUUCAUCUCCACAGUUUCUGAUCCAAGAACAUUCAGAGAAAAUAGAAAGACUGUCUUUCAACCAUGACAAACAGUCAAAGAAGUUUCAUCUGCAGAUCUCCUCUGCCGCAGUGACAGACUCUGCUGUGUACUACUGUGCUCUGGAGCCCACAGUGACAGGAAACAGCAAAACUCUGUACAAAAACCUUUGCAGCAAAGACAAGAGAAAACUCCACAACAUCCACUAG
Stegastes partitus (bicolor damselfish) is the source of this 510-nucleotide non-coding RNA. The record is from the annotation of a RefSeq genome assembly. Lineage: Eukaryota; Metazoa; Chordata; Actinopteri; Pomacentridae.